RNAcentral lists this ribosomal RNA (505 nucleotides) under uncultured bacterium. Its description in RNAcentral is "partial 16S ribosomal RNA". It matches the Rfam family "Bacterial small subunit ribosomal RNA", at positions 28 to 507 of the family's 1533-position model. The record is from RNAcentral.
GACGAACGCUGGCGGCGUGCCUAAUACAUGCAAGUAGAACGCACAGUUUAUACCGUAGCUUGCUACACCAUAGACUGUGAGUUGCGAACGGGUGAGUAACGCGUAGGUAACCUGCCUGGUAGCGGGGGAUAACUAUUGGAAACGAUAGCUAAUACCGCAUAAUAUUAAUUAUUGCAUGAUAAUUAAUUGAAAGGUGCAAUUGCACCACUACCAGAUGGACCUGCGUUGUAUUAGCUAGUAGGUGAGGUAACGGCUCACCUAGGCGACGAUACAUAGCCGACCUGAGAGGGUGAUCGGCCACACUGGGACUGAGACACGGCCCAGACUCCUACGGGAGGCAGCAGUAGGGAAUCUUCGGCAAUGGACGAAAGUCUGACCGAGCAACGCCGCGUGAGUGAAGAAGGUUUUCGGAUCGUAAAGCUCCGUUGUAAGAGAAGAACGGGUGUGAGAGUGGAAAGUUCACACUGUGACGGUAUCUGACCAGAAAGGGACGGCUAACUACGUG